GCGAGGGUGGCGGAACUGGCAGACGCGUGGGACUUAGGAUCCCAUGUCUUCGGGCUUAAGGGUUCAAAUCCCUUCCCUCGCACCA
Molecule: transfer RNA, 85 nt
Filed under: Deltaproteobacteria bacterium
Lineage: Bacteria; Pseudomonadati; Myxococcota; Myxococcia
Description: tRNA-Leu
Rfam family: tRNA
About the family: Transfer RNA (tRNA) molecules are approximately 80 nucleotides in length. Their secondary structure includes four short double-helical elements and three loops (D, anti-codon, and T loops).
Source: RNAcentral